RNAcentral lists this ribosomal RNA (112 nucleotides) under Pteropus alecto (black flying fox). The record is from RNAcentral. Lineage: Eukaryota; Metazoa; Chordata; Mammalia; Chiroptera; Pteropodidae.
AUCUACAGCCAUGCCACCCUGAACAUGCCCGAUCUCAUCUGAUCUCGGAAACUAAGGAAGGUCGGGUCUAGUUAGAUGGGAGACCACCUAGGAAGACCGGGUACUGUAGGCA